RNAcentral lists this ribosomal RNA (623 nucleotides) under Mycobacterium sp. So3Pw_2929. Its description in RNAcentral is "bacterial SSU rRNA". It matches the Rfam family "Bacterial small subunit ribosomal RNA", at positions 391 to 1024 of the family's 1533-position model. The record is from RNAcentral. Lineage: Bacteria; Bacillati; Actinomycetota; Actinomycetes; Mycobacteriales; Mycobacteriaceae.
GCGACGCCGCGUGAGGGAUGACGGCCUUCGGGUUGUAAACCUCUUUCAGCACAGACGAAGCGCAAGUGACGGUAUGUGCAGAAGAAGGACCGGCCAACUACGUGCCAGCAGCCGCGGUAAUACGUAGGGUCCGAGCGUUGUCCGGAAUUACUGGGCGUAAAGAGCUCGUAGGUGGUUUGUCGCGUUGUUCGUGAAAACUCACAGCUUAACUGUGGGCGUGCGGGCGAUACGGGCAGACUUGAGUACUGCAGGGGAGACUGGAAUUCCUGGUGUAGCGGUGGAAUGCGCAGAUAUCAGGAGGAACACCGGUGGCGAAGGCGGGUCUCUGGGCAGUAACUGACGCUGAGGAGCGAAAGCGUGGGGAGCGAACAGGAUUAGAUACCCUGGUAGUCCACGCCGUAAACGGUGGGUACUAGGUGUGGGUUUCCUUCCUUGGGAUCCGUGCCGUAGCUAACGCAUUAAGUACCCCGCCUGGGGAGUACGGCCGCAAGGCUAAAACUCAAAGAAAUUGACGGGGGCCCGCACAAGCGGCGGAGCAUGUGGAUUAAUUCGAUGCAACGCGAAGAACCUUACCUGGGUUUGACAUGCACAGGACGCUGGUAGAGAUAUCAGUUCCCUUGUGG